GCGAGUAUAUGAGUGCUGGUGUGCUCCCUGGUCUUCAAAACCUGUGCUAUCGGUUAAAAUCCGGUUAGGUGGGUUCGAUUCCCACAUAUUCGCGCCA
This 97-nucleotide transfer RNA is filed under the name Enterocloster aldenensis. Its description in RNAcentral is "[Clostridium] aldenense tRNA-Sec". It matches the Rfam family "Selenocysteine transfer RNA". The record is from RNAcentral. Lineage: Bacteria; Bacillati; Bacillota; Clostridia; Lachnospirales; Lachnospiraceae.